RNAcentral lists this long non-coding RNA (5809 nucleotides) under Lactuca sativa (garden lettuce). RNAcentral's name for it is "long non-coding RNA (LSAT_LNC008591)". Lineage: Eukaryota; Viridiplantae; Streptophyta; Magnoliopsida; Asterales; Asteraceae. The record is from RNAcentral.
CGUCAUGUCAAGUAUCACAACACAUGCAUUAUAGUAAUCAAAGUACAACAAAACAUUGCAUUAAUAGUAAUAAUUUUACACGGUUACUUUACAAUACUUCAAAGUAAUACAAGUAAUAGAAUAAAUACAGCGUGGUACUAAGCUAUCUUCAUCAACAACUCCGGGGGUGUACCUGUCUAAUGCUAACCUGAGAAUACAAGUUAUUUGAAAAGCGAGUAUCAGCAUUUUUACAAAUGCUGGUGAGUUCAUAAGCAUUUAGUGACAUUUAUUCAAAUAACUUUAUAAAGUAGUAGUUUAAGUGUUUACUGUGUAUUAGAGUUCUUUCCAGAAAAUCCUAUAUUUUCUUGAAUAAAACAGCCUUCUACCAAGACUGGUCAGUGUUCUGUGGUAAAAAGUAGUUUUCCCUUAAUUGCUAUCAUUAUCAAAAUACUAAAUUUGAUUAUUAAAGAAAGCAAGAGGCGUCAGGGAAAUACAUAUGCCUCAGCAGUGAGGACUACUGACUAAGGCAAAGGAAUCAUAGACUCCAGGAAAGUAUCGAACAAACGACAUGCCUGGUUCAGUCUAACAAGUGGAGACACAGACCCCAGAAGGUGCCAAAUGAAAGGUACAGCUAGUAAGGUCUAAAACAGUGAAAAACAGACCCUAGACAGUAUCAAAUGAAAGAUACGUCUUGUAAGGUCAAAACAGAGAAAGCAGACCCCAGACAGUAUCAACUGAAAGAUACGUCUUGUAAAGUCAAAAUAGUGUGAGUCUGAAAAUGAAUUACAAGCAUACAAUGUAAAUUGCCGGUGAAAUACCGUUACCUUAAGGCCAAUGAAUUAUAAGGUAACCCGGGAUACUCGUAACCAUACUGACUAGAGUUCGAGACACCCUACAAGCUUCUAUAAUGUGACAUCUGUCACCCGUAGGACUGGUAAGUCGGGACUGUAGCUAGCAGUCUGGGUGCGGGGUUGUCAAUCCCGUAUAGAUCUGUACACACAAUGUCCGCUCUCCCUACAAGAGAUUCUGGUUACCAACUAGACGACGGAAAAGGCCGUGUCCUGAAGAUGUAUCCCAAACAGUGGGUAGAGACUUCCAAAGAGUGGGUAGUGUGUAAGUGCUGAACUAGAGGUAGAGACUUCCAAAUAGUGGGUAGUGUGUUUCUAAUGUAAGUGUAGACUAGAGGUAGAGACUCUUAACUGAAUUGACUAAAGAAUUCCUGUAUGUCCAUACUCAUAUACAUAAUAUAUAACUAAUGAAUCAAAUGACCUUCGGACGACCAUCCGAUCUCACCAGACCACAUCUCAACAAAGAAAAGGAAAUAGGGCGGACGAGCCUUCCUAAGUCUUUCAAUCAUUACUUAUACGUACCUAUAUAAGCACAGACAUACAUCUACUACGACUGAGUGUGUAUUAAGUAGAAGUGAUUUUUGUGAAGUAGGAUUGUCUAAAAAGUGAAGUAGGAGCGGUUGCAAGUGAAGUAGGAGUGUCAAACAAGUAUAAACGUAUCGCGAAGUAGAGACGACAAUAAGUGAAGUAAGAGCGUCUAUUAGGUAUAAGCGACUACAUGUAUAAGUGAAAUAGAGGCAAUAACAGGUAUCAGCGUAUCACGAAGAGAAAGCAUUAUCAAGUAGGAGUUUAAAAUACAUGAAAGCGGAGCAGUAGCAACUAACAAGUAAGAAUAUAUGUCGUAAAAGGGAACUUUGAGGAAAAGCCUUUAUACUAGGGGAAAAAUCAUAAUUUGUAUUCUUUUGUAAAAUAUGUUUGAAAACCUUUGGAAAUAUUUCAUAAACCAGUUUAAAAUGAAUUAGGAUAAAACAGUAUAAGUAAGAGUUUUGAAACAAAUGAAAACCUUUUAGAAAACCAUUAUAGUGUCCUACUCGGUAAAACAGUGUACAGUGUGGUAAAAUCUUGUGCAUGCGGGUUAUCAAUCACAUGUGAUUGAUAUGAUAACUGGCAUGUUUAACUUGUAUUCCCCCCCUANUGAUAACUGGAAUGUUUAACUUGUAUUCCCCCCCUAUAAAACAUAUAAAAACAUUUAAAAGGUUCAUUCAGGGGUACGAACUCACCUGGUGUAAGUAGGUCCGACGAAGGUGCCGUUUGGGCGUUCGGUGUCAUGUAAGGACUUGAACACACACAAUGACCUAUUUAACAUAUGAUAACGUACGUUCACAUUCAAUUAGUAUAUUUAAUACUAAUUAAACAAGUAUACGCACUCAAAGGAGCGGAAAACACUUUGGUUAAGUGUUUGGGGUGUCCCGGGUAGCGUCUAAAGGUGUGUAUGGCUUAGGAAUGGAGUUUACUCUCCGAGACUAAACUCCCAACACCAUGUUUACGGCCCAGGGACUACUCACCAUUAGUUUACGGCCGUAAACUCAUGGUGAGGGGUUCUAGUGUGUUUUAAAGCUUAAUCUUGUUAGUGGGAUUUUUGUAAGUCCAAUUCCAAAAAGGCAUGUGUAGGUUUAAGGCUGCUAAGGGCUUCUUAAUGGAGUUUACAGCCCAGAGACAACUCCUAAGGGAGUUUACAGCCAUAAACUUUCAUUGCUUGAGUUUAUUGAAGUUUUAAGCCCCUAAUACCUUCCUAGCAUUUUAUAGAAAUAGUCUAAGGCCAUUUGGGGAACAAAACUUAAUGUUUUGACAUGUUUAAGGGUGUUUACGGCCUUGGUACAUGCCUGGGCCAUAAACUCCUUUUUCCCUUCAUUUUGUUGUGUUUAAUUGAUCAAAACCCGAAAUAUCAAGUCCCUAAAUUAUGUAUUAAGCCUAAGGGUGGUUCGGGAGUGUUCUUGGGGCCCUUAUGCAAGAUUAAGAGGUGUUUACGGCCAAAGCAUGUGCUUGGGCCGUAAACUCUCUUUUAUGCCCUAAAUCAUUGUGUUUUAAUGUUCAAACACUCCUAGGCUAAUCCCUUAAUUUAUUUCCAAGAUUUUAGGGACAUUUUGGGGUCAUUUUGGCCUUAUUUAAGGUGUUUACGGCCUAAGGAGGAGCUUAGGCUGUGAACUCCUUUUCAAAAGCUUAAAUGGUCCAAUUUUAAGCUAUAAACACGAAUCAUAAUGUUUCGAGUAAGCUAGGGUAAGCAGACUUACGAUUUGGAAGCGUUUGGUUGUGGAUUCGGGUCGAAAACGAGUGUAGAGAGAGAGAGAGAGUAUAGAGAGAGAGUGUAAAAAGUCUCCAAAUGGGGUUUACUCCCCUAUAUAUAUGGGUGGGAGUUGGAGCUCAGUGGGAAUCUACCCGAUACUGCCGUUAUAUGGGGCUUUUGGUCGCGCCCGAUUUAGUGGUCGUAAUAAUAAAAACAAACUUUUCCAUUUAAAUGGAAAUAUGUAUUAUGUGUUUUUAUUUCCUUUUAUCACGACUUAACGGCAUAUUAAAUGUAAACAAAUGGAAUGUUUAUUAAAUUGACGACCUCUAAUUAACGGAACUUUUAUAAACUGGAAUAUUCCAUUAACGGUAACGGGGAAAUGUAACGGAACAACUUGGGUUGUCACAUCAUCCCUCCGUUAGAGGGAAUUUCGUCCCGAAAUUCAGGUCUAGGCAAGGAAGUCGGUAUGAAUGGCCAAGUGGAGGUAUGAGAGUAUUUCCUAUACGGUUGGCCUCACAUUACCAAGUGAUCUAGGGUCUGUGUUUUUCAUUCCAACACACCCUUACGUACGGGAUGCGGAUUCCGUCUCGUGUAGCUAGUGGGUUCCAACUGGUGUAUCUACAAGGUUAGGGUUCUCAAUGGAUUCUAUCAAGAUGAGUGGGGCACGAAGAGUGUUGUCGGGAAAUCACAUAUCAAGUCCAAGAAGUGGAUCUUGAAAAUCUACAAAAUGGAAUGAUUUCACAGAUGAAAUCAUGUAAGAUUACUAGAUCACCUAAGAUAUCAACUAGUUAGGGCAAGAAACUUACGAGUUUUGAAGAUCGGGGACGAAGAUCGGGACGGUACUUGAGAGGAUUUGGGCCAAGGAAAUGAAAGAAAUGGACAAAUAGCCUUCAUCUUCACCAUAUAAGGUGAGUUUACGGCCCACAUGGAGUUUACGGCCGUAAAUUCCGAUGUGGUGGCCAUGAACUCAUGGUUAAUGUGCUUAAGGCUCGGUCUUUGUGCUAUAAAUUCUGCAAAUAAACCCUGACACUUCUUCCUUAAGUGUACAAGGCUCAGAACUCUCAAACAGACUCUAAAUUGUGCUGAAUGAUAGUAGGAAUGACUUUGACUUUCUAUUGACUUGGUAUGUUGUACAGAAUGGAAAUUUCAAUAAACCCUGACACUUCUUCCUUAAGUGUACAAGGCUCAGAACUCUCAAACAGACUCUAAAUUGUGCUGAAUGAUAGUAGGAAUGACUUUGACUUUCUAUUGACUUGGUAUGUUGUACAGAAUGGAAAUUUCGGGUUGUCACAUCAUCCCCCUGUUAAAGGGAAUUUCGUCCCAAAAUUAGAAUUUUAAGUAAGGAAGUAGGCAUGAAUAAUCGAGCAAGGAGAUGGGGAAACUUCCUAAUCGAUUUGCCCUCGUGUUCAUAAGUGACAUCGGGUCCUCGGUUGGUAUCCCAACGAACCUUCACUAACGGGCGAUGGAGUUUGCCUUGUCUGUUUGACCGCUCGGUCGAGGGUCACUAUGGUUCUUCCACGAAGGCGAGGAUCUCGUUGAUCUCGAUCUUGUCGAGUGGACUUACGAGAGUCCUAAUGGAAAGGUACGGUUUCAAGUUCGAGACGUGAAGGCUAAAAUGUACCUUACUGAGUUCGUGGUGUAGGUUGGGUUUGUGAGUUACAAGACUGAUUUUGGCAUGAAUCUCGGAGGUCCUAACUAUUUUUGAUUUGGCUUACCACGCUUUCUGAAGCGUAUCAAGCCUUCCUGGAGUGAGAUUUCCAAAAGGAUUUGGCCUCUCACUUGAAAUUCCAAGGUUUUCUUCCUCUUGCUUGUCUUCUCAGUCAAGGGCCACUCCCUUCUGAGUCAAAGUCAUAAGAGGUUUCGUAAUUCACGAGGAGUUCUUAAUGAACUAUCGACAGUAGGUCAACGAGAUCUAAAAUUUGGCGAAUUCCUGUCGGCAUCCUCGGUGUUGAUAAAUUCUCAGCGGUUUUGAUUUUUGGCAGGGUCCUUAAGAAUUCCCACAUUACUAGUAAUGUGUCUUAGGAAUUUGACACUUCAAAUUUAAAAACUCGCAUUUUAGAGAACUUCGCGUAAAGCUUCUCUGAUCGUAAUGUUUCUAGGGUUUGUUGUAGAUGCUCUUUAUGAUUUCCUUCUUACUACGAGAGUAGAUAAGUAAGUCAUUUCAAAAAGACAAUGACGAACUGAUCCAAGUAAGAAUGGCGUACCCUAUUCAUUAAGUAGAUGAAUAUUACAGGUGUAUUGGUCCAAUCCGAGAGGGAUCACUACGGACUCGUAGUGUCCGCAUUGAGUUUGGAAAGGUUGUCUUCGGGACAUCUUCCUUUAAAACUCGUAACUGAUGAUGUUAUGACCUCAGACGUAUUUCUGAAAAGUAAAUAGUUCCUUGCGGUGGGUCAACCAAGUCUGUCUUCUCGAAGAAUAAGACUGGAGCUCUCAAAGGUGAGGAGCUUGGUCUUAUUCUAUUGUUGAGUAGUCGUUAAGCUGUCCGAACAGUUCUUCUAUCUCCAUUUGUCACACCCCAAAACCGGAACGAUGGAAACGUUCUGGGGUGGAUGACGUCAUGUCAAGUAUCACAACACAUGCAUUAUAGUAAUCAAAGUACAAAAAAACAUUGCAUUAAUAGUAAUAAUUUUACAUGGUUACUUUACAAUACAUCAAAGUAAUACAAGUAAUAGAAUAAAUACAACGCGGUACUAAGCUAUCUUCAUCAACAGCUCCGGGGGUGUACCUGUCUAAUGCUAACCUGAGAAUACAAGUUAUU